GAUGAACGCUGGCGGCGUGCCUAAUACAUGCAAGUCGAGCGAACAGACGUGGAGCUUGUUCCUCCGACGUUAGCGGCGGACGGGUGAGUAACACGUGGAUAACCUACCUUUAAGACUGGGAUAACUUCGGGAAACGGGAGCUAAUACCGGAUAAUAUCUUGAACCGCAUGGUUCAAUAGUGAAAGACGGUUUUGCUGUCACUUAUAGAUGGAUCCCCGCCGCAUUAGCUAGUUGGUAAGGUAACGGCUUACCAAGGCAACGAUGCGUAGCCGACCUGAGAGGGUGAUCGGCCACACUGGAACUGAGACACGGUCCAGACUCCUACGGGAGGCAGCAGUAGGGAAUCUUCCGCAAUGGGCGAAAGCUUGACGGAGCAACGCCGCGUGAGUGAUGAAGGUCUUCGGAUCGUAAAACUCUGUUAUUGGGGAGGAACAAAUGUGUAAGUAACUAUGCACGUCUUGACGGUACCUAAUCAGAAAGCCACGGCUAACUACGUG
Molecule: ribosomal RNA, 497 nt
Filed under: uncultured bacterium
Lineage: Bacteria
Description: partial 16S ribosomal RNA
Rfam family: Bacterial small subunit ribosomal RNA
Source: RNAcentral